RNAcentral lists this ribosomal RNA (253 nucleotides) under uncultured bacterium. RNAcentral's name for it is "partial 16S ribosomal RNA". It matches the Rfam family "Bacterial small subunit ribosomal RNA", at positions 524 to 776 of the family's 1533-position model. The record is from RNAcentral.
UACGUAGGCAGCGAGCGUUGUUCGGAAUUACUGGGCGUAAAGAGUGUGUAGGCGGUGUUCCCAGUCUGUUGUGAAAUCUCCCGGCUUAACUGGGAGGGUGCAGCGGAAACUAGAAUGCUAGAGGGUGGGAGAGGUAAGCGGAAUUCCUGGUGUAGCGGUGAAAUGCGUAGAUAUCAGGAGGAACACCGGUGGCGAAGGCGGGUCUCUGGGCCGAAAUUGACGCUGAGGAGCGAAAGCGUGGGGAGCAAACAGG